UCCGGCAAAAUGAGUGUAUUUUUUGAGUUAUUUGAGUGACGCUGUCGAAAUACAGUGUCUCUUCGACCAAUGAGUUACACCCUCGCGCGAGCCCUCCCCCUCCCCACCCGUAACGCACGGUGCGCUCUGCAGUUCUCAAUGUGUUUGUGUUCUUUCGAGCCAUGCUACCAACACAUCAAAAGCUUCUUGUUUUUCGCUUUCUUUCAUGCACUUAUUCUAAAACUAAACACAAACACUGUCAUUUUUUAUUACAUUAAACACUUUAUUGAAACAUAAAGUACACACUAAAGUACACAUGUAGAAUCCAAUGACGUCAUACCGGGUCGAGCCAGGCUGCGGGAAACUUGUCGACAAUCUGCGUUGCCUCUGUUCAUCAAAUUCUUACUUGUCGAUGCAUGCACUGCAUGUGCGUCUGUGCACACUGUUUAUUCACUGCACACUUCACCAAAACACACCGGCGCACGAGACUUAUAACGAAAUGCGCAUCAAUGCACAAACACUGCGCGCGGGACUUUGAACAAAACACGCACAACCAUCUCCGGCAAAGCGUCGCGCUGUACUGGUGGUGUUGUACGCGUAGGAGGGGGGGGACAUACGGAGCGAUGGUUCGAUGCUGUAGUGUAAGCGAGACAACACGAUGUGACGAGCAGAUCCAAGUUGGUGAGCUCGCUGAAAGAAGACACACACACAUUCACAGACGGCUCGUCAAAGCACGGUAUUUGUAUUGGUGUUAGUGAAGCGCGCGUGUAAAACAGAAUGCGAACUCUCAUCGCAGCGCGUUUCUCCGUGCUUCCUCAAGCUUCCUCAUACCCCUCGGCCUGAAUCACUCAAAAUUUGGGGUCUCAUUGUUUGCGUGGUUGGCAGAAGCGCAUACACACAUUCACGCAGUAGGCUUUACUUUCAGUCCAGUGAGGUUGGUGCUUGUGUGGUGUUUCAGCGCUUGGUAGUCAGCGGAUAAACCCCGUAAAAAAUAGAGUUUUGUUUAAUUUGAGGUAAGUAAAAGUGAUUAAAAUUAUCAACCAACAUCCCCCCUUCUAAUUAAUAUCAUUUUUCUUCCAUUUCAUGUGUGUUUCACGGCGAACGGAGACAACAAAACCUGUGGCAGUGUCGUGGUGUUGGAGAUGGUGGCCCGUACAGUGCAGCGAGAAGAACUAGGCGCGACAGCGAUGUGGAGCAGAAAGUGCUGUGUUGAUUUUAAUUUUUCUUUGUGCGAGUGUAAAAAGUGUUUUUUUAUUAUGUGCAUUAAUUUAGAAUUAAGUGCAGUGAUAAUAAUGGAUGCACAAUAGUGCAUGUGUUGUGUGUGUUUUUUUUUGUAUUCUAUGUUGGUUCGAUAUCCAAUAAAUCGAAUCAUGUUGAUAUAAUGGUCCGCACUGUAUCAUUUUGGAAAGAAAUCCUGGCAAAAAAGGGGGAGGGGACUAAUUAAACGAAGGUUCGUGCAGACCCCCGUUCGGGUUUUGCUUCGGCUUCGGGUUUGCUUCGGCUUCGGGACCCGACGGAUCGGUUGAAUAACCCAAGUAGCAGAGCCGAAGUUUUUCAAAGAUUUUUCUGUGUGCCAAAGCGAGAUGCCCUGUCUUCUCUCUCCAGAUUUUGGACAGCAAACCGCCGCGCGUAUAGAGGUGUGUGCGUGUGACGAAAAACGAUGGAUGAAAAACGCGAGGAGCGGGAUCCGAAGUCUUUCGUUGGUCACACACACAUGCAUCUACCGUUGGAUUGCGCUACACCGAGUCUACCCAUCUCUCUCGAUCUACCAUGAUUUUUUUCUGCUAUCGCACUCAUCCGGGAGUUAGGCAUCCUCAGUCUGCCCAGAACUUUCGUUGUGGAAGGAUGUGCGGGAGUGAUGUGCGAUUUCUUGUGUCCCCUACUUUCCUUGUUUACGUUUUGCGCAGUGUUGCUUCUUCUUCCAUUGCGGAAUGAUUUAUCCUAGCUAACUUGCUGAGUUACAGGUGCAUGCGCCAUUCAUCAACGCCUACCUGUUGGCAUCAUCAACAAUCUUCAAAGUGGGUGACGGAAAGAAAUUGUUUUCCAGUUUUAAAAUAUUAAGCGUUCAGCACAACUCAGCCACAAAACUACGCACUGGAUUGCGCUAAGAACCUGUCGAAACGCGCGCAGCCCCCGGGAGCGGUAGGAGAAAGGAAGAACGAGAGGAGGAAAAACUAAAGCCAGCGCGCAGCUCUGAUGGUACCCCGUACGCGGUAAGAAGAAAAAAGAUCGAGAGGAGGAAGAACGGUAAAUUUGGAAGGGGGAGACCGUUCUGCCGUCUCCACAGUGCGAGUAUGCCAAAGCACGUGUUGGAAGGGAGAGAAAAAGUGUGGAAUAAACUACAUGCGAAUGUGUGCAUACAGCAAAAGUAAA
Molecule: long non-coding RNA, 2352 nt
Organism: Anopheles gambiae (African malaria mosquito)
Lineage: Eukaryota; Metazoa; Arthropoda; Insecta; Diptera; Culicidae
Exons: 3
Source: RefSeq, a predicted model, not a curated record